This 25945-nucleotide long non-coding RNA is filed under the name Triticum aestivum (bread wheat). RNAcentral describes it as "long non-coding RNA (TAES_LNC028031)". The record is from RNAcentral. Lineage: Eukaryota; Viridiplantae; Streptophyta; Magnoliopsida; Poales; Poaceae.
AUAUAUAGUUCUAGCUUUGGCAUCAGACGAAAAUAUAAGGGUGUAGCAAUGGUACGGUGUGUGUCCAGGUUUGUUUGGAUGGAUGUUAUAUGUAAGUACAUGUCGCUAGUGUUGGUGAGUGGGGGCUCCGAUCCUACAUAUUGCUAGCUAGUGCUGGUACAUGUCAUUGUUACUACUGUAUGAAACUUGUGUGGUUGGUCCUGUGUGGCCUAGCUAGCGUCGGACAUACUGUAUUAUCGUGUUAUGUGUAUGAAUAAAUAUGUUUAUGUAUAUAUUAGCACAAAUGCCCGUGCGUUGCAACGGGAGAAAACAACAAUUACUACGAACCAUGGUUGGUCGGAUCGAGGAACUAUACCACGGGACAACAAUUGUUGGUGACAAUAAAAGAUGCAUCAUUUGAGGAUAACUGAGGGGUAAAGUUAAAAACAUGAUUAAGGCCAGUCCCGGCCCGUAAACCACCAUUCAGGGGUAACGUGAAAAAAUGGACCACUGUGCCAUGGAACUUUGGCUAAUACUAAUCUCAGUAAACCACCACUUAGGGGUAAAGUAAAAAUAGGAAAACCAUAGAAAAACAUGCAUACCAGAAGCAUCUUCGAUAAUGCAUAUGUUCCGAGCAUUUCCCUUCAAUUCCAUCCACAAAACGAGAAACACUUUCUCCAUUCUCAAAUGACUCAGUAAGGAUUGUUGGAUGCAAAGUAGUAUCACUUAAACGAUGAGACAUAUUUGAAUUUUGUUCAGGAUGAAUCCAAAAAGGUGGAGGUAAAAAACACAUAGAGGCAUAUAUGACCAACUAUCGAUAGCAGAACUUUUAAAAUGCACCAUGGCAUAGUAUGUGUUACUUUCGGACAUUAGAAUAAGGUUUGUCAGUGUAGCAUUACAUGUAGUCAAGUACAAGACUUUACAGUAAAACUCUGCAAGUUUUUAUUUUCUUUUAGCAGAAAUAAACACAAAUUCUGGUUUCAUAGGAUAGCAGUAGUCAACUCUGUAAUUUGAAGCGGUAUAAAGCUGGAACUAAUUCAUUGUGCAACAAUAUAUUCCCCUAAUUAAAUGGCAUGGCCAACACAUUUCUGUAGGAGAUAGAGCUAAUAAUGUGAAUGGAAUUAGAGCACCACAAGUCAAUUAAUGAUUACAGAACGGGAUUUCCACUUGAGUUUUUUUUUUGCAUGGGUUCCCACUUGAGGAUUGCAAAUGGGAUGAUUACCCUCAGGUUUAUGCAUAGCAUAUGGACGAAUCAGGGAGUAAAGCAGCCUGCCCAAGAUAGUCUCCCAAAUCUUGCCUUUUUUCAGUGACAUAAAAAUUCACCCAAAUCUGAAACAGUUAGCACAAUCCCUUUUGGCUGAUAUGGCCAGGAGCAGUAAUAAUUCCCGCCAGCAUUGCGCCCUACAGAUUGAACUUCGUCAAAGUAUUAUUAGGCUGAUCUGAACCCAAGUCGGCAAGCAUUUGAAGAAAUAAGCCAUGUGGCCCCUGGGAAUUUCCAUCGCAAUGGACUCUAUUUCCUUCUUUAUUUCUUUUCUUGUUACCUGAAACACAAGAUAUACAGAAGGUUAAUUAGUCUAGCUGUCCUUCCUCUUUUCCCUACCACAAUGAUCUCUCAGACACGGCUUCCUAAUACCCAAAAAACUAAAAAAAAGUAUAUAAAUUGGAUAGAUUGAAUGUGAGGGAGGGAGGUGGGACUAUUUAAGGAGAGAAUUAACCUAUGUUAGUACGGAUAGUAGAAGGUAGCUCAGUUGGCCUUUGGUUUUGAGUUCGACUCCUGUCAUCAGCAUUUAUUUUUGCCUCAAACAGGAUAGGUGGGCUGGACUUAACUUAUUGGGCCACAGAGCACGGGCGGCAUAUUAUGUGCCAAAGGUUUAUUGGGCCACCUCGCACACAGUAUCAAUUAGUACCACCUCCCUAUCAAAAAAAUCAUCUACGGCGCGUCAAAAAAAAUCCAUAUAUAUAUAUACACACACACACACACACACACGAGCAAAAGUGCCCGUGCGUUGCAACGGGAGAAAAAAAAACACGUCCUAACCCAAUAAAUUAAAUAUGUGAUGUUGUAAUAAUUUAUAUACCACAAAAGGUGUAAUCAAAAGGAUAAUUCUAAGUCGGACAUGAAACACAUUUUUUGAGUUUCCCGUGUGUGCCCUAACCUGUGUGUAUAUAUAUUAGUACAACAUCGCCUAAUCCUUAUCCAGCAAUGGACCGUGUUCGUGUCCUUUUCAGUUUUCACGUCCUAAAUGCAAGUGCUCCUCCCUCCCAGUUGGCGUGUGGGGCGAAAUAGGACGCGAGCAAGAUGCACCGUUGUCGCACUCUCUCUACUAUUCACCCCUCAUCUCUCUUGCCUAUCUCACCAAUGACAUCGAUGACAUUCAAACUUGAGGAAUAUCUUGAUGAUCAACAAGUAACAAUGAGCACCUAAUAUCUUCUACCUUAAGAAUUAUUUCUUUCCAAUAAUCACUCACUUUUAGUUAGUCUAUCUGAUAAUGUAUUCCUAAGUGCUCUAUAGAUCUCCCAAUAAAACCUUUAUGGAAGCUAUAAUUAGUUUUGUUCAUUAUUUAUGGAUGUGUUUUAAUUUUUGUGAACAUUUUCUAAAAGCUGAUGGACAUGUUUUUUAAAUUCCUGAAUAUGCUUUGAAUAUUGGGUCAUUUUAAAAAAUUGUGAACAUUUUUUAUUUCAUGAAAAUUCAUUUGAAAUCGUGAUUUAUUUAUAAUAUGUGAGCAAUUUUUAAGUUAUGAACAUUUUGUGAUUUUUCGAACAUUUUUUAAAUUCACAAACAGUUUACCAUUUUCCUACUUUUUUUCAAAACUCGCAACUGUUUGAUAUUUUGGAAAUCCGAAAUUAAUUUUGAUAUAAAAAACCAAAACAUAAAAAAAGUAAAAAGAAAAAAAUAGGGAGCGCCAUGAAUCCGAAAUUAAUUUUUAGAGAAAAAACCUAAACAGAAAUAAAAAAAGAAAUACAAAACAGGGGCGCCACGAUCCACACAUGGGCUGGCCCAUUACUGCGCUUAAGAUAGGUAAAAAGAAAGAGAAAAAGCGUCCAAAACCAAGGAUCGAACACUGGUCUCUUGUGAGGAGCAUCCUAGCCUCAGCCAUCGCCCCCACUCAUCCAUCACUGUUCAUAUACCGUAUCAAUUUUUAAUAACAGAACCCGGGAGCGAUAUUUGAAAUUAAAAACGAAUCGUUUUUGUCUCUUACGGGUGGCAUUGGUAGGUAAUUAUUGCCAACUUCGAGGGUAGUUUUUAUGACGUACGGGCAGAAUUCCAAUUCUCUUUAUUAUUAGGUAUAUAUAUAUGUGUGUGUGUGUAGUAACAUUAUUCAUCACCCAGGAUGCAGAAUAGUUAUUCCUCACCCGAGGUAAUCUUACGAUCAUUUAAUAAAUAAAUUAUGUUUCAAAUACAAAUAGUUAUAGUCGUAUUGAUUCACUGUAUAAAAUUUGGCAUAAAAAAGGUUAGAAGACCAGAAAAAUUACAUUUUAUGUAUAUUUUACACUAUGUUUUUACAUUUGUAAUUUACGUAACAUAAUAUUUUGUUUACGGUGAUUAUAUAUUUUCUUACGUUGCCUUUUUACUUCUGAAUUAAGACAAAAUUUACGGAACAUAAAAUUACGAUGCAUUGAUGUUAAAAUAGAGGGGGGUGAAGAAUAACUAUUCAUCACCCAGGGCCGCGCUCGUCACUCUGGGUGAGGAAUAGUUAUUCUUCACCCCCUCUCUAUUUUGACGUCCAUGUACCGUAUUUUUAGGUUUCAUAAAUUUUGUCUUAUUUCAUACGUAAAAAGAGAACGUAAGAAAAUAUAUACUCGCUGUAAAAAUAUUUUAUGUUUACAUAAGAUUAUGAACGUAAAAACAUAGUGUAAAACAUACAGAAAAUGUGAUAUUUUACGUAGUGAAUCAAUAUGAAUGUAAUUAUUUGUAUUUCAAACGUAAUUUAUUUAUGAAGCAAACGUAAGAUUACCUCGGAUGAAUAAUAACUUAUUCUUCAUCCUAGGUGAUGAGAAUAUAUAUUCUACAAUGGAUUCACUCCUAUAAGGCAACUUCCAAGAAAAAUAAAACUGAACAUGAAAAAAAUUACCCACCCCACGUCCCACUCCCAUCCCAGCUCUCUCUCUCCUUCCCGAUCACUACUUCCCCGCAACCGACCUCCACGGCCUUCUCCCAUGGUUUAAAAUUUCGAUAUAAAUUUCCGAAAUUUUGACAAUCUCGAAGGUGACCAAAAUUUUGCACUUCGUUAAAAAAAACUCAGCACAUUUGAAUUUCUACAAAAAAUGUUGGGCAGAAGUAUGCAAUACCAAGAUUCGAACUUGGGUUACCUGCUAGCGUGUAAACUAGUUAACCAUCACACAAUAAGUACUUUUAUGUUCAAUCAGCGCUACAUUACUUUAUUAUCUAGCUCUUUAAAUUUUCAAAUAUUCAAAUUCACACAAAAAAUCGGUGAUUUGUUCAAAAUGAUUUUCGAAAUUGUCAAAAUUUCCUAAAUCUCGACAUUUCGAGGGUAAGCGAAAUUUAUGCAAUCACGAAAUUCGGAACCUUGCCUCCUCCCAGGGCCGCCGCCCUCCACGGGCCUCCUCCCGCGCCAGGGGCUGGCCCCCACGGCCUGCUCCUCCCCGCGUCGCCCCCCUCAACGGCCCCUCCACGGCUUCCUCCCCGCGCCAGUUGCCGGCCGCCACGGCUUCUCCUCCCCAUGCCGCCCCUCCAUGGCCUCCUCCUCUCCAUGUUGCUCCCCACCACGGCCUCCUGCUCUCCAUGCCGCUCCCCUCCAUGGCCUCCUCCCCGCGCUAGUUGCCGGCCGCCACGACCUCUCCUCCCUGCACCGUCCCCUCCAUGGCAUCCUCGCCGGACUCCUCCCCGNNNNNNNNNNNNNNNNNNNNNNNNNNNNNNNNNNNNNNNNNNNNNNNNNNNNNNNNNNNNNNNNNNNNNNNNNNNNNNNNNNNNNNNNNNNNNNNNNNNNNNNNNNNNNNNNNNNNNNNNNNNNNNNNNNNNNNNNNNNNNNNNNNNNNNNNNNNNNNNNNNNNNNNNNNNNNNNNNNNNNNNNNNNNNNNNNNNNNNNNNNNNNNNNNNNNNNNNNNNNNNNNNNNNNNNNNNNNNNNNNNNNNNNNNNNNNNNNNNNNNNNNNNNNNNNNNNNNNNNNNNNNNNNNNNNNNNNNNNNNNNNNNNNNNNNNNNNNNNNNNNNNNNNNNNNNNNNNNNNNNNNNNNNNNNNNNNNNNNNNNNNNNNNNNNNNNNNNNNNNNNNNNNNNCCCUCCACGGCCUCCUUCCCGCGCCAGUUGCCAGCCGCCACGGAGUACUCCUCCCUGCGCCGCCCCCUCCAUGGACUCCUCCCCGACCUCCUCCCUGGGUUAGCGGCCGGCCGCCACGGCCUCUCGUCCACGCGACGCCCCCCUCCAUGGCCUCCUCCACGACCGAAGACUCAAAUAACCCUCAAAUUUUAAGUGGCAGUGCCUAAAAAUGCAAAGCAUUUGAUGGGAUAGGCUCCAUAUUUCUCCUAAGCCAUUUGGUAUUUUUUUCAUAACACAUUUUGUCUUUUGUGGAUUAAAAGAAAACAUAAAUCACUAAAUAGAAAAGGGGCCAGAGGCCUUACCUCGCUACUGGGCCGCGCUGGCCCAGCCCACGCUCACCUCCCUCGUCCUUCUUUUCCCCCGUGUCGCCUCGCACGCGGCUUAGUCUGCCCGCACCGGCCACCGCUCGCCACGCCGACGGGAGCAUGUGGGCAAGGGGAUAAGGCUCGCCUCGGGCCGUCUCCCCUGGCCGCCCUCCUCCAUUUCCCCUCUCUCCCUAGCUCGCUCGCCUCUUCUUUCCUCUCUGCCACCACAACCGAGCGCCACCGCUGCCUCUGCCCCAUCGACCCCGCGCUCUCCGGCGUUCCCGUGAGCCACCACCAUGUCUGGAAGGCGCGCCGUGCCGGACCACGUCGCAUACGUCUACUAACCGAGGCCGCGGAGCACAACUCCGACCGUGAUGAGCUUCCUCCUUCUUUGAAGGAAAUAUGCCCUAGAGGCAAUAAUAAAGUUAUUAUUUGUUUCCUUAUUUCAUGAUAAAUGUUUAUUAUUCAUGCUAAAAUUGUAUUAACUGGAAACUUAGUACAUGUGUGAAUACAUAGACAAAACAUGGUGUCCCUAGUAUGCCUCUACUUGACUAGAUCGUUAAUCAAAUAUGGUUAUGUUUCCUAACCAUAGACAUGUGUUGUCAUUUGAUGAACGGGAUCACAUCAUUAGGAGAACUAGUCGCCUACCCGUGCGUUGCACGGCCGGGCUAGUUCUUUUAAUAAUACAUAUAGAAAAGACUCAAACACCUUAUAUCUUUUGGUUCUAGUUUCCAACAUACAUCAAACACCUUAUAAUUUCCAAAUCUUUUAUUGAUAUAUUUGUAUUGGUUUUAAAUACAAAGUUAGCAAGCAAGGAGUACCUUGUUGCCUCAAUUAUGGCUUUGUAAGCACUUCUACUCUAUAUGGGUUUGCAUGUAGUUAUUCGCGAAAUCCAAUCAUCGGCAAGAAAACUUCUACCAGGAUAUCUAUUGGGUGAAUGUCAUGUACACCAUAAGAAUUUUUAAUAACAUAUUGUACUAUUAGUUAUAGCUGCAUCACAUACAUAAAUUCCCGUUGGUUAGGAAAUCUACAAUGGUUAAAUAUAAAAACGAACACUUCAUUGAUAAAAUACAAUAAUGUUGGCAUAUCGUAUUUCAUAAAAAUCGUAUUCUUUAAAUAUAUAGAAUGUCCAAAAUUAUUCAGAUUUUCUUUUAGGACACACAUCAAUUUAUUUUUAUAAAUGCAAGUAACUUAUGGGAUACGAAGUUAUUUUUACCGAAAUUUAUUCGAUCAUAUAACAUCGGUCAGAUUGACGGUAAAAGCCCAGAUAGAUUACAUGUAGUUGCCUCCAGCAAUUAUAUUAUUGGAGUUUUAACUGUCCUCCGUAAUAGUGUCAACUAAAUCAUUUUAAUUGCAAUGACCUCUAAAAGGGAGUAUUUCUUUUCAAAUAUAAUUCUUUCACACUGCUACCGCUGAUGAAUGUUUAUCUCAAGCCAAUUCAAAUGAAUAUCUUAGCUAAUAUACUCCUCGGGGAAUUAAAGGGAAUACAAAUUCAAAUCAAAUUUUACUUAUGUAGCAGCAAUUCAGCCAUAUAUCACUCGUUAUCUUCAAAGAGAAGUACUUGAACUGGCCGUGGUCAAAUAACAAUUCGAAAGUUGUACUAAUAUAUGCAUAUAUGUAUCCUUUCUUGUGUCUUCCACUGGAGAAUAACAUGCUAUAAUAAUUGGCUACAAAAGAUUGAUGUAAGUACGAUGCACAAAAUGAUAACGCAAAAGAGUCCUACUUUUAGUCAAUUCAUGCCUACCAAUCCUUUAUUUAAGCUAGUAACCUCAUCAAAUAUCGUGGAGAGAAAGAGAAAGAUCUGAGUGAUAACGCUGCCAUCUUUCAGAAAAUAAGUCAAACAUGCCAAUAAUAUUGGAAAAAUGUAAAUGCAAUGAGGUCUGCAUGAAAUAAGUUGAUCCCAACUUCAUUUGUAGACAACUACAGAAGCUCAUUGUACAUAUAUAUAAUAAGGAGGCGAAACUUACGUGAGGCGAGUGUCAACCAUAUCAAUGGACACGUACAUGUCAUCACCGAAGUAAAUUGUGAUGUUCUUUCUACCACUUCUUUUGCAACAUGUUGUCAGUGCGAGCUGCAUGGUUUUCUGUGCGGACACAUGUAUGACAUAGCAAAUUUGUUUUGGAUAAAAAUGCCAAAUAUAGUGGGAAAAUUGAGUUUUGGUGCCCUCGUACAUUUUGCAUGUUUUAGAUGAGCAUGAGUUUUUGUGCCCUCUUACAUUUUGCAUGUUUUUGUGCGCUCAUAAGGAAAAAACUAUAUACUCAUGAGCUAAUGAGAUUAUUAAUAAGUGAUAGAUGCUAAUACUAUGAAAUAGUACCACAAAGUAAAUUUAUAUUUUAUUAGUAUUUGCCCGAUAUAAUCAAUCAUGCAAACCAAAAAUUAGUGGACACGCAAAGAAUACGAAAAAGAACAAAAACAAAAUAAUGCAUAUCUACCUAUAAAACAUAUAUUAACAUAAUGGCGUAAAAAAAUCAUGAUCAAACGCGGCACCUUACUGUUAAAUAACUUUUACAUGGAUUCAUGACUUCUAUAUAUGAGAGAUAUUUGAUGGAUUAAUUAAUAGCGUAAUAUUAAGAUGACACAAAGGAGCUGGUCCAACACGUACCUACUCUACUCUAUCAGAUGUUAGGAUAUUUCCCAAGUCGACCACAUAUUUUCCUCAUAUAUAUUUGUAAGCAAGCACCGUAAAUUAAACAACACGUACCUUCAGGCAUACACGCAGUCCGAGAGCCCAACACGGUAUCGUUUGCGUGAUCAAAGGGCAAAGUUCUCAUUUCUUUUAUAAAGUUAUUCUGUCUCAACCGCAGACAUGGUAUGCCUAAUUAAGAAAAAACCAUGAGGAUUGCAAGGAUUUGAAGAAGAUUUGCAUUCAUUAUAUACCUGAUGCAGAUGGUUUUGCAUGCUGGCUUGUGGCAUACAUGAUGGUCAGAAGCAGAAAAAGACAGGCAUUCCGAUAUGUAAAUAUUAGAUUAGAUUUUUUUUGCAGGCGUGUUAUUUGUACCUGCGCUGAGAGGCAUUCAUGGCAUGUUCGUACCUGCACUGCACUGAAGCAUUGUUGCAUGCGGGGCAUUUGAUGGGAACACUCAGCGCCGGUGAUCUAUGGUGCAUAAUCCCUUUAGUCUGGUGGUUGAUCAAUUUUGUUUCCACAUAAGCAAAGAUAGAUCGGUCUAUAUUAUACAUGAAUAGCUGCAGCCCCUUGCAUGCGUACCCUGCAUGCGUACCUGCUUUAAGCAUGAGAUGGAGGAUAGCCAGAACGAUUCAAGUAAAUAUGCAUGGGCCAAAUAAACAGAAAGAAAUCAGAACGCCUCAAGAGUGAGUAGCCAAUCCAUUGUCUCCUGAUCAAACUCACCUGAGCCUAUGAAUUUCAAUGAAAUUACAUAUGAAACCUUCAGCUAUCAUUUGUCGUAGUCUCAUCUGCUCCAGAUCUUUCAUACUGGGGCGGCUGGUGCAAGUUGGAGGCCAAGAGAUCGAGGACCUCGCGACCAUCAUGUAUGUGGAUUUUAUUUCUGCAGCACACAUCAAGCAUUAGAAUCAAGUUACCAAUCAACCAACACGUAUGUUCAGAGUCACCUUCGUUAGGCUAGAUAAGGAAUACGAUGGAUGUGGCCUGAAGCUGAAAAUAUCAAGAAAACAACUUGUAACUGCUGAAUUCAGCAGCUCUCACCUGCUCGCCUUUGCAGCCCAUGUCCUAGAGAAUCCACAUAGAUUUAGGUAAUACUUUCAAACUCUAGUGCUCAGUACCAUUACGGAUCAGAUGGCCAUAUCUGAAUGAAUUGACGUCACUGGACUUCAAACAACAGAAUCUUUACCCAUAUUUUAUAACCACAUCAAGCAUUAGCAUCAAGAGUUACUAAUUAACCAACACUUACGUUUAGAGUAACCUUCUUUAGGUUAGACGUCUCCCAGGCGUCCUCCUUGCCGUUCCUACAACCUAGUUAGCAGCACCAGCUCUUCUACUUCAAGAAGCUGCGUCUCCUAGCCAUCCUCCUUGCCGUUGCUACCCCCUAGUUAGCAGCACCAGCUCUUCUACUCAAAGAAGCUGCCGGUGGCUCAUGUGGGCAUAGCUGAUGCGGCUGGGCCGCUGGGGAAGCACGAUUUGCCCUAGAUCGAAGGAAGGUAGAAUAGAAGGAAUAAAGAAUCAACCACUUAAGGAGACUUGAGCAAGGAAACCAUCUCUCUGGUCCCUCUAUGUUUGAUUAGUAGAUUGGUAAUGGAGAGGCGAGCCAAGGGCAGGCAUGGCGGUGGCGUGAGCACGGGAAACUGGCAACGUAGCUUUGGCUUCUCUUUAGAUAAGAGAUCGAUGGAUUUGUUUAGAUAGAAGUAGAGAGAUGGGCCUUUUUAUUUUAAUAAGAUGCCCGGUGGUCUAUCUGUAUUUUUUUUUUGAGUUCAAAGUCUAUCUAUAUAUUGAGAUAAAAUAGAUGUGUGCAUCAUUUUUUUAGCCUAGAUGCAUGCGUGCACCCUUAAAAUAUAUAAAAUAGGUUUCUAGUUCAAAUAAUAUACAGAUUUCUGGUUCAAUUUUUUUUGAACAUAUAGAUUUCUGGUUCAAAGAAUUGUGGGCCAUUUAGCCAUUUUUUCUUCUUCUGAAAUAAGGACUAUGUAGGUAGAUGUACACCGUAAUAAUUCGGACCCACCAAAUUAACGGCUACUAAUUACUGAUCAACGUGGGAAUUUGUAGGAAGUGCCUAAUUAGUAUAGGUAUAGAUAGAUAGAUAGAUAGAUAGAUAGAUAGAUAGAUAGAUAGAUAGAUAGAUGAUGUGAUGGACAUGACCCAUCUGUUAGCUUAGCAUUAUGAUAGUGACGGUUUCAUUGCUACUGCUCUCUUCAUGACUUAUACAUGUUCCUCAGACUAUGAGAUUAUGAAACUCCCGAAUACCGGAGGAACACUUUGUGUGCUACUAAACGUCACAACGUAAAUGGACCCGAAGAACAUUGUAUUGAGAUCAAAAAAGAGAGAAGAAGCCAACUAGCUAAUAACUAUGGACCCGAAGGUCUGUGGUAAACUACUCACAACUCAUCGGAGGGGCUAUGGUGUUGAUGUAGAAACCCUCCAUGGUGGAAUCCCCCUCCGGCAAAACGCCGGCGACGGCUCCAAGAUGGGAUCUCACGGAUACAGAAGGUUACAGUGGUGGAAAUUGUGUUUCGGUUGCUCCCUGGAUGUUUUCGGGAUAUGUAGGCUUAUAUAGGAGGAAGAAGUACGUCAGUGGCCGCCCGAGGGGCCCACGAGACAGGGGGGGCGCCCUAUAGGGGGGGGCGCCCUACCCUCUCGUGGCCGCCUCGGCUGUUUCUUGACUUGCACUCCAAGUCCUCUGGAUCACGAUCGUUCCAAAAAUCACGCUUCCAAAGGUUUUAUUCCGUUUGGACUCCGUUUGAUAUUCCUUUUCUUCGAAAUACUGAAAUAGGCAAAAAAACAGCAAUACGGGCUGGGCCUCUCGUUAGUAGGUUAGUCCCAAAAAUGAUAAUAAUGUAUAAAAUAAAGCCCAUAAACAUCCAAAACAGGUAAUAUAAUAGCAUGGAACAAUCAAAAAUUAUAGAUACGUUGGAGACGUAUCAACGGCGGCGCAGGUCGAUGGCGGCGACGCGGGAGGACUGGGGGUUGCGAUGGUCUGCGAGCGAAUGGACAGAAACGAGUGGAGGGGGUGCACCACGAGGGGAUAAGGCAUACUAUGGUCAUUAACAUUAAUCUUUUUUAUGCAUCAACAUUAAUCUUUUCUAAAAAAAAUUGUUUCCACUAUGUUAACUAUAGACUAGCCAUCCUAUACCCUCCAACGAACAUCGAGUGACCUAACCACAGCAAGAUUGACUCACAGAUCUAGAGGUGCCAGCGGCGGCACCAUCGGUGGAGGGGGUCCCAGCGGCCGCACCAUCCGUGAGGGGGCCACACCCCGGAGACGCAUGCCGCCUCUUCAGACGUGACACCCCACCUUACAUCAUGUAUGAUGGCCCGGUGCGAUGCUCCGGUGGCAUUGCUACCCCCAGGGCCCCCGUCCGGCAUAACCCUGUAGCUUUCGACCACGACAUCUAGCCCUUUGGCUUUCCAUAGACGGGCUUUGACCAGUGGACCUCUCCACCCGGUUUCGUUAGGUCAGCCCAUACAAACACUUGUGAGCAACAUGCGGGCCAAACCCACAGCAAGAUCCCCUCCGUGUAGACCCGACAUGACCCAUUCCCCCCCUCCAAGUGUCGGCGGCGACGCCGUCCNNNNNNNNNNNNNNNNNNNNNNNNNNNNNNNNNNNNNNNNNNNNNNNNNNNNNNNNNNNNNNNNNNNNNNNNNNNNNNNNNNNNNNNNNNNNNNNNNNNNNNNNNNNNNNNNNNNNNNNNNNNNNNNNNNNNNNNNNNNNNNNNNNNNNNNNNNNNNNNNNNNNNNNNNNNNNNNNNNNNNNNNNNNNNNNNNNNNNNNNNNNNNNNNNNNNNNNNNNNNNNNNNNNNNNNNNNNNNNNNNNNNNNNNNNNNNNNNNNNNNNNNNNNNNNNNNNNNNNNNNNNNNNNNNNNNNNNNNNNNNNNNNNNNNNNNNNNNNNNNNNNNNNNNNNNNNNNNNNNNNNNNNNNNNNNNNNNNNNNNNNNNNNNNNNNNNNNNNNNNNNNNNNNNNNNNNNNNNNNNNNNNNNNNNNNNNNNNNNNNNNGUGAGGGGGGCCACACCCCAGAGACGCGUGCCGCCUCUUCGGACAUGCCACCACACCGUACGUCAUGUAUGAGGGCCCGAUGCGAUGCUCUUGUGGCAUUGCUACGCCCCCCAGGGGCCCCGUCCCGCCUAACCAUGUAGCGUUUGACCACAAGAUCUAGCCCUUUGAGUUUCCAUGGACGGGCUUUGACCAGUAGACCUCUCCACCCGGUUGUGUUAGGUCAGCUCAUACGAACACUUGGGAGCAACGUCCGGGCCAAACCCAUAGCAAGAUCCCUCCGCGUAGACCUGAUGCGGCUAUUUCCCCCCUCUAGGUGCCUGCGGCGGCACCGUCUAUGAGGGGGCCCACACCCCGGAGACGUGUGCUACCUCUUCCACUACAAAAAAAUACACUUCCGUGAUGAUACGUGUUUGUCACAGUAGGUCACGUUUUCUAUCAUGCAUGUACAUCGAUGACGGUUUUAUGACAGAAUCAAGAUAGUCAUACCUAUGCUAUCGUAGCAGUGUUCCAUAUGGAAUCAAAGAAGAACAUAUGGUCGGAACCACAAUUGCAAAGGAUCAAUUCACCGAUACCAAUGGAUAUUAUAUCAAGAAAAUAGUUAUUAUUACAAGAAGUUUCAUGAUAGGAUCGACAUCGUGUCCAUGGGCAUGAACACAAAGUUCAAGGUCGACUCCCACUUCUUCAAUGCAUAAUCUUUCAUUCACUUCUCACAUUCGAUGAAGUUGUAGUGUUGAAAUUUUAUCUGGCAAAAUACCAGAAGAGUAUGACUCGUGAAAACUUUCGAGUUCACACAUAUUAAGGAAGGCAUAGGUUCAACCCAUCAGGGCAUCGUGGAAACAUAUACCACAAGCUUCAAUAGUAAAUAUCACCAGCUCGAAAGCAGAGCAUGGUUGGCCAAAUCAAGGAACAGGAUUUACCAAUGUCAUUAUGUAUCAGGGAAAGAACUUCCAAAGUGAAUAAAUAUGAAGGACGUUGUCAGAUAAAAUACAACAAAGGAUCCGAUGGUCCUUAAGGGAUCUGAUGUAAGCAUCGGUACUCAACCAGAGGAAGAAACAAUGCAAAGGCAUUGGAUUGUAGAAACAACCAACUAAUUCAAACUCAAAUGCAAAGGAAUUGUGAUUUCCAAAUCAAGGAAUCAGAAGCAAAAUGCUCUGAUUAAGGGUGGAUAAGUUGAGUAGGCUUAGGGAUACAAUCGAUGAUAAUUUGGUUGGUCGAGAUCCAUCUCAUGUUUAAAAUGACGUCUAAGCCGGAAGGAUGAAUUCUGGGUUGGAUUGAUGAUUGCGAGCAUUCGCAAACAUAUCGGAUCAGAGAUUCAAAAUGACGGUGAAAAAGGAUGCUGGUGAAUAUUGCUAGACAUAUGGAAAGUAUCCAUAAUGCAAGCAGAGAAGUAUUUGCAGAACAAUAGUUGGCAAUGGAUUAUCGGAAGACCGGAUAGUAUUUCAAAGUAUCUUGUGGACCACAUGAUCAACUAGGAAUGAACAAAUCCUCGAUGAGUGUGAGGAAAUAUUCGUACAUGUAUUAAAGCGGAAAUGGAGUUGCAAGGCAGCAUGCAUAAUGGAUUCUCAGGAUAUUGUAAUGUUUCAAGGAAUCUUGUAAUAGAAAGAGCAAUUGGGGAUGGAGGUAUGAACAAAGAUUGCAGGUAGUUAUCCAUAACGAUUUAUCGGUGGUAGGGAUUGCAACUACAAAGGGCACAAGGGUCUCGGGAAAACAUGAGAGAGUAUCUUCGGAAUCUUCUGGCGCAGUAGGCGAUCAUAUGUAAUAAGGGGCUCUCCGGAUGGAAGUGAUCACGAGAUCCUAAUGUUAGAGUUAGCAAAAUUCUUUUAUCCCGAAUAGAAGAAAGAUCAGAGUCCCAGAGUAAAGGUCAAGGAGUAAAAGAUCCUAAUACUACUCAAUGGCGACGUGGGCCCAUAAGACUCACAACCAUGUUAGUAAAAGUUUUGUAGUGACUAGACUCGACUUUGGCCAAGGAGUGUGGAAGCAGGAUUCCUACAGGCAGUCGGCUCUGGUACCAACUUGUGACGCCCCCGAUUCAAUUGUACACUAAUCAUGCACGCAAAUGUGUACGAUCAAGAUCAGGGACUCACUAGAAGAUAUCACAACACAACUCUAAAAAUAAAAAAUUCAUACAAGCAUCAUAUUACAAGCCAGGGGCCUCAAGGGCUCGAAUACAAGUGCUCGAACAUAAACAAGUCAGCGGAAGCAACAAUAUCUGAGUACAGACAUAAGUUAAACAAAUUGCCAUAAGAUGGCUAGCACAAACUGGGAUACAGAUCGAAAGAGGCGCAUGCCUCCUGCCUGGGAUCCUCCUAAACUAUUCCCAGUCGUCGUCAGCGGCCUGCACGUAGUAGUAGGCACCUCCAGUGUAGUAGGGGUCGUCGUCGACGGUGGCGUCUGGCUUCUGGGCUCCAACGUCUGGUUGCGGCAUCCCGGAAGAAGAGGAAAAAUGGGGGGGGGAAGGGAGAAAAGCAACCGUGAGUACUCAUCCAAGGUACUCGCAAGCAAGGAUCUACUCUACAUAUGCAUGGGUAUAUGUGUAAAGCGGCAAUAUCGGUGGACUGAACUGCAGAAUGCCAGAAUAAGAGGGGAAUAGCUAGUCCUAUCGAAGACUAUGCUUCUUGCAGCCUCCAUCUUACAGCAUGUACAAGAGAGUAGAUUGAAGUCCUCCAAGUAGCAUCGCAUAGCAUAAUCCUACCCCACGAUCCUCCCCUUGUCGCCCUGUGGGAAAGCGAUCACCAGGUUGUCUCUGGAACUUGUCUGGGUGUGUUUUAUUAUGUAUCUGAUUCUAGUUAUCAUAAGGUCAAGGUACAACUCUGGGUCGUCCUUUUACCGAGGGACACGGCUAUUCGAAUAGAUAAACUUCCCUGCAGGGGCGCACCACAUUUCCCAACAUGCUCAAUUCCUCUGGCCGGACACACUUUCCUGGAUCAUGCCCGGCCUCGGAAGAUCAACACAUCGUAGCCCCACCUAGGCCUAAUAGAGAGGUCAGCACGCCGGUCUAAAUCCUAAGCGCAGGGGUCUGGGCCCAUCGCCCAUUGCACACCUACAUGUUGCGUGGGCGUCCGGAAACAUACCUAGCCUCCCUAAUACAAGAGCAGGCGUUCGAGUCCAAUCUGGCGCGCGUCGCUCAGUCGCUAACGUCACGAAGACUUCGGCUGAUACCACGACGUCGAGUGCCCAUAACUGUUCCCGCGUAGUUGGUUAGUGCGUAUAGGCUAAUGGCCAGACUCAGAUCAAAUACCAAGAUCUUGUUAAGCGUGUUAUUUGGAAGCAACCACGAACGCCGACCAGGGCCAGGCCCACCUCUCGCCUAGGUGGUCUCAACCUGCCCUGUCGCUCCGCCACAAAGAUCCACACAGAGGGCCGUCGAGAAAGUAUAUCCUUUCAGCCCCCAAUCCGUGAAUCAACCGCGGGUACUCAGCGAGCCGACCCGACUUUAGUCACCAUCUGCAUAGUAUAUAUGUAUGUAUGUAUAGUAUAUACCUGUGAUCACCUCCCGAGUGAUCACGGCCCAAUAGUAUAGCAAGGCAGACUGACAAGAAUGUAGGGCCACUGAUGAUAAACUAGCAUCCUAUACUAAGCAUUUAGGAUUGCGGGUAAGGUAUAUAUCAACAACUGUAGCAACAAUGACAGGCUAUGCAACUGAAUAGGAUUAACCGAAAGUAACAUGCUACACUACUCUAAUCCAAGCAGUAGAGAGAAGAAUAGGCGAUAUCUGGUGAUCAAGGGGGCGGGGGGCUUGCCUGGUUGCUCUGGCAAGAAGGAGGGGUCGUCAACUCCAUAGUCGAACUGGGCAGCAGCAUCGUCGAUCUCGUAGUCUACCUAAGAGAAGAGAGGGAAGAAACAAUAAAUACAAUGCAAACAUAAGCAUGACGGUGCAUGACAUGACAAUGAGCGAUGCUAGGUGUGCCCUAACGCGGUAGUAUGUGAUACCGGUGAAGGGGGAGGGACAUCCGGGAAUGUAUCCCCGGUGUUUCGCGUUUUCGGACAGAUGAACCGGAGGGGUAAAGUUGCGUGUUUGCUAUGCUAGGGAUGUGUGGCGGACGAAUGAGCUGCUUAUCCAGAUUCAUCUCGAAAUACGGAGCAACUUUCAUGUACAAAGUAUUUUCAUCCGAGCUAUGAUUUAUCUUCUAUUAAUUUUAAAGUUUUCAAUCAUUUUCUAAUUUAUUAUUAUUAAAUUAGAUCAAAUUCGUAUUAUUGCAUCAGCAUGACGUCAACAGUCAACAGAGGUGUUGACUGGUCAAACUGACGUGAGGGUCCCACAUGUUGUUGACUGAUUAAUUAGUGACUAGAUUAAUCUAAUUAUCAUUAAUAAAAUUAAUUAAUUCUUUCAUUAAUUAAUUAGUUAAUAUUUUUAUUAUUGUUAUUUUUAAUUCCUUUUUUUAAAACAUUCUGGGGCUGGGCCCUCCUGCCAUAGGCCAAGGGCCUUACCGGGCAUGCGGGCGCGGGCAUCGGCGCCUGGAGCAAACCUGAGCGGGCGCUAGGCAACGGGCACACAGCGGGGCGAGGCCAUGGCCGGCGGCGGAGGUGGCUGCGGCAGAGCUGCGCGACUGCGGGCACGGGAGUAGCGCACGGGGAGGGGGCUACGGGCGAGGCCAGGGUCGAGCGGGAGUGCGAUCAGAGCCGAGGGAAGCUCAGCAAGGGGUGAGCGGGGUAGCGCGGUGUGGUGGCGAUGCGGGGUCAGGGGCGCCGCGAGCCGGACGGGGUGAGCGGGCGAGAGCGCGGGCCCGCGCGAAUGACACCAGCAUGGAGACAGAGCUGCCCCCGUGGGCGAGGCGCGCACGGGAAGGGGUCGGGCGCAUCCGGGAUGCGGCGAGCGCGGCGGUCGAUGGCAGCAGGUGGAAGCAGCAGGCAAGGGCGGGGGGCCGCGGUGGCCGGUGGGUGUGGCCGCGUGCGCAAUGAUGCGGAGCAGCAGCAUCCGGUGCGGGAGUGAGGCGAGCGGCGGGAGUAUGAGCUCCAACGAGCUCGGGCGACAACGGGGAAGAGGGGCACGGGGCCGUGGUGAGUGCGAGGGGCAGAGAGGAAGAGAUGCGGGGCUCACUGGGGCCGUAGGGAAUGGACAGUGAGGCGCAGGGAGGAGGUCGGGACGACGUGCGACGGGGAGGCGUGGUCGAGGCGGCAUUCCGGGCGACGGCGAAGUGCAGCGACGGCAGGGUGGUCCGUCGAUGGGGAGGCCUUCGGGCGACGGUGGACGAGGCGUCGUGCCCCGAUCCAGAUCGGGCAGAGGGGGAGCGAGGAGCGAGGGGAGUGGGGGGUUUCAUCCCCAAUCCAGAUCGGAUCGGGAGGGGGAGAGAGAGUGGCGAUGUGGGAAGGGAGUUGGAGCGAGUGGGUUAGAGUUUCGGUCGGGGUUGACCAAGGUAUAUGCCAGGGAGGUGGCCGGUUGGGUGGGAUGGGCCUCGGCCCAUGGGGAGCCAGGGGCUUCUUUACUUUUGCUUUGUUUUCACCUUUUAUUUAUUUUACUUUUGCUUUGUUUUCUUUACUUUUGCUUUAUUUUAGUAAAAUAUACACUUUGUAUCUAAAUUAGUAUUUCAACGUAGUCCAUAGUCACAAAAGUCUAGUCCUCAAAUAAAUUAGCUUGACAUUUUAUUAAUUACAAAAGGUAUUUAAACAAUUGUUUUUGCUAAUGUUUAUUCAUCUUAUAGUAUUUAAACAUUAUAUAUAGGUGUGGUUUCUCCACCAUAGUUACCUGUGCAUUAUUUGGCUCACUCCGAACAUUUUAGUUUUAAUAUUUAAAAAUUUUUAUUGUUUGCUUGAUUUUGAAUUUGAAUUCGAAUCGGUUUCGAAAUAGCGCGAGAUUAGCAACAAUAAUCGAGGUGAUGUGCCAUCAUUAGUAGAGCAUUACUGUAGCUUAAUUAUCUGGGCGUCACACUCUGUUUACAACUGUUUACUUUCCCUGUAAGUUCAGGUUGCUGAACACAAAUCGCUAACAGGACAAGCCUGCCUAUCCAUGGUGGCCACUCCAUGUGCUGCUGGCCCAACACAAAUAGCUCAUAAUGUUUGCUGGCACAGAGCAAUCAAGAUUCCAACUCUGUGACAAGUAUCCUUCUUUAGCUAUUCUGCUUGUAACUGGAAAUCUAAACCAAUUUUACAAGUUUCAGCACGAGUACGCAGCGCACUGCAUCUGAAGAUCACUUGCUGAAUUCAACUCUUUUAGACAGUGUUUGGGGUCCAGACUACUCUUUUUUGAUUAUAUUAUGUCGCAUAAAUUUGUUAUAUUUCAAAACAUUAAAUUAUUUGAUAACCAUUCACGUAGCAACACGCGGAGUAUCAUCUAGUUUCCACUAUUUGUGCGUCCCAAUCUUAAUCAAGUUGGAGCUGCCUCCAGGCAGGACAAGCAGAGGUUAGCGCCUUAAUGCAUCAAUCAAGGAGGAAUCUUAUUUAGCAAGUUUUCUAACACAGAUGACAUAUGUUAUGCGAGUCUCUAUGCCUCAACAGCCGGCCCUUGGCAGACUUAUAUGGAGAAUGGUAUAUAUCAUAUGAUCGACACUAGUUGACCUCGAGAUUGCUUAGUGCAGAACGCAACGUUACUUGCUUCUUUGCUUGUGCCAACAAUAAUUGGUCUAAAAAACUAGAGUUCGGUGAAUUUCUCCUUCAACAGAUACAAGAGUGCCUGACCUCACAAUGAUUUCAUCUUCUGAUCUUCUCGUGUUUGGUCACUAUACUUUAGUUUACUGAUUUUAUCUAUCUAUCAUACCACGCCGGCUAACAACGCAAAUUUUCAUCCCGGCUUUGACCACCCCGCAGGGCUCUUUCCAUUUCCAGGCUGACAAGCAAGAAAUCCUCCUUGAUCACUUCCAGAACGCCUUUGGCUCGCACAAACCGGCCUCCUGCGCCUUCGACUGAUCAUCUAUGGGUAUCCCAAGUUCUGAUCUCUCUGGCCUGGACAUGCCAUUCACCGAGGAUGAGGUGAAAGUUGUUGUUUCUAACCUACCAGGAGGCAACGCCCCGGUCCUGACAGAUUCAUUGUUGAUUUCUUCAAGAACUGCUAGGACAUUGUCAAAGGAGAUCUCAUGAAGCCCUGCCUCCAGACAGGACAACACUACCAGAAAAUCGCUAGUUGCCGACAGCCACCCUCAGCAUUGAUGGAGGUAAGCCGUCGGCAAAUAAAAGCCAUCGGCUUACCUCAAUCUAUGCCGACGGUGGCCGUCGGCAGAGCUUUGGCCGUCAGCAAAUCGCUCACUGGCCGUCGAUAUAGCUGUAGCCGUCGGCAUACAAUGCCACGUGACCCUUGGACUAUCGGUCGGCUAACACCAUUGAGCUAUGACGACGGCCCUACCGUCGGCAAUAUUAUUUUAUUAUUAUUUUGAUUUCAUGUUUUUAAAAUUUCGAUUUUGAGUUAUGUAAAUUUAAAUAUAUACAAAUUAUAUAUCAAUUUGGGGUAGUAUUUUCCAUACAUUAUGAAUAUCCAUUUUGUUUCAAUUUUUUAAUACGAUAAAAAUGCGACAUAAUGUACUUUUGUAAAUAACUCCAUAUAGUUUGUUAAAAUCAAAAGUAAUUCAUACUUGCAUGGAUUUUGAAUUUUUUUAUAUGUUUUUGGAUCAGCAUCUUGUAGUGAUUCUGUUGCAAUAAUAAUUUUUCAAAUUUACAUUGACUACUAGACCAAACGGUUAGUGCUUACGCCGAAACGAGCAUACCGAGAGGCAAUCUUGGACAUGACCGAUGAUAGCCCAUGAUGGAAUCUUGCAAAACUCUUGUGUAUAAAAACGAUUUAUGAUGAAAUGACAACUUGUGUACCUAGAAAUGAUUUUUAGAAAAAAUAAAACUAUCAAGCACAUGUAGUUCAAAUUAACCCCGUUCCAACUUAAUCGAUGGAAAUUUGUCUUUUCGAGGAGAGGUGUAUAAAAAUGAUUGGACAUAUCAAUAUUUAGUCAAUUGUUAAUAAAGUAUGGUCUAGUAUUUUACAAAAAUGGAGUGAUUCAAAUUUACACCAAAUAGUUGGUAGCUUCUUAACAAAAAAACCCUACUUUCGACACUCAGAAACUGAAAAAUGGAUUUUUACGUGCAACGGAAAACUUUCUUCGGCAAACUUGUUGGCCAUCCCAAUAUGCACACUUUUACAAAACAUGAGAUCAAUUGGGGAAACUAUCCUUUGAAACUAGCAAUCACAUCGGUCAUUUGGUUUGAAAGCCAUGAAUCUUCAUACUCGAUAGCUCAUUUUGAAAAGAGUUUUUAAAGAUAUUUACCUUAUUCCAAUUUUGUUAUUUUAUAUGGUUACUCGGACAUAAAUAAUUAGGCAACACGGAGGUUUUACAUUUUUUUGAUUUUUUUUUUGAAUUGUUAAUAUCAAUUUCAAAAUGCGGUCAAAACGGGGGGCAUGGUUGGUGAUAGCUAGAGGUGGAAUCCUGUAAAACUCUUGGUGGAUCUAUGAUGAAAUGAGUACUUUUGUACCUUGAAAUGCUAUUUAGAAAAAAUAAAAAGCAAACUAUCAAGCACAUGUAGUUCUAAUUUGAGCUCGUUCCUACCAAAUCAAUGGAAAUUUCUCUUUUUGAGGAGAGGUCUAUAAAAAUCAUUUGACAUGCAAACAUUUGGUCAAUUGUUCAUAAAAUAUGAUCUAUUAACUUUGAAAAAAGGUAUGGUUCAAAUUCAUAUAAAUUUUGAUAGAUCCUUCGCAAAAAAAAACCUACAUUCGACACUCGGAAAAUGAAAACUGGAUUUUUCGUGAAACGUAAAUGAAAAAUUUCUUUGGCAAAUUUGUUGGCCAUUCCAAUAUGCACACUUCUGCAAAAUAUGUGAUCAUUUGGGAAAACUAUCGUUUGAAACUAGCAAUAACAUCGGUCAUUUGGAUUGAAAGCCAUGAAUCUUAAUACUCGAUAGCUCAUUUUGUGAAGACUUUUUUAAGAUAUUUUACUUAUUCAAAGUUUUUUAUUUUAUAUGGUUACUUGGACAUAAAUGAUGAUCAGCGCGAAGGUUUUACAUUUUUUUAUUAUUUUUGAAUUAUUUAUAUCGAUUCAAAAUGGAAUCAAAAUGGGGGGCAUGGUUGGUGAUAGCUAGGGGUGGAAUCUUGCAAAACUCUUGGUGGAUCUAUGAUCAAAUGACUACUUGUGUACCUAGAAAUGAGUUUUAGAAAAAAUAAAAAACAAAUAUCAAGCAUAUGUAGUUCAAAUUUGACCCCGCUCCUACUGAAUCGAUGGAAAUUUCUCUUUUUGAGGAGAGCUGUAUAAAAAUCAUAUGACAUGCAAACAUUUGGUCAAUUGUUCAUAAAAUAUGAUCUAGUAAUUUUGAAAAAUGGUAUGGUUCAAAUUCAUAUCAAAUUUUUGAUAGGUCCUUCACAAAAUAGCCCUACUUAUGGCACUCAAAAAAUUUUAAGAAAUGAUUUUUUGUGCAAAAAAAACUGAAAAAUUCCUUUGGAAAACUUUUUGGCCACUUCAAUAUGUACACAUUUGCAAAAAAAUUGUACAAAAAUGUCUGUUUCCUUUGUCUAAGUGUCAAUUUUUUUCAUUUCAAAAAAUUGGAAUGUAUUAAGAAAAUUGUGGUAUUUCCAGUUUACAUUUUUUGUGACAACUAUUACACAUAUAAUGCCUCUGUGUAAAAGUAUUUGAUUUUUUGAUUUUUUUUUCCAUUUUCUUUGUUUAUUUUUAAAGUGCCUAAAGAAGCACACAAUUGACAGUCUUCUCAUCGAUGGAAAUUUGUGCCUUGGAUCGAUGACAUGGCGCAGAUCCAUCCAUCCACAUCUNNNNNNNNNNNNNNNNNNNNNNNNNNNNNNNNNNNNNNNNNNNNNNNNNNNNNNNNNNNNNNNNNNNNNNNNNNNNNNNNNNNNNNNNNNNNNNNNNNNNNNNNNNNNNNNNNNNNNNNNNNNNNNNNNNNNNNNNNNNNNNNNNNNNNNNNNNNNNNNNNNNNNNNNNNNNNNNNNNNNNNNNNNNNNNNNNNNNNNNNNNNNNNNNNNNNNNNNNNNNNNNNNNNNNNNNNNNNNNNNNNNNNNNNNNNNNNNNNNNNNNNNNNNNNNNNNNNNNNNNNNNNNNNNNNNNNNNNNNNNNNNNNNNNNNNNNNNNNNNNNNNNNNNNNNNNNNNNNNNNNNNNNNNNNNNNNNNNNNNNNNNNNNNNAUCCUCCAUCCAUCCACAUGGCGCAAGUUUUCUGACAUGGAUGACAUAUUGUAUGCAAGUCCCUAGGCCUCAUUAGCCGGCUCUUGGCAGACCCAUGCGGAUAAUGUAUAUCAUAUGCUAGACACUAGUUGACCUCGAGAUCGGUUAGUGCAUGUUAGUUGCUUCUUUUCUUGUGCCAACAGUUAUUGAUCGAAAAACUGUGCUAUAAACAUGGUAACGUGGGGUGUGACAUGGUGUUUGUUGAAUUUCACCUUUAACUGAUGCAAGAGUGCCCGGCCUCACAAUGAUUUCACCCUUUGAUCUGUCCUUUUUGGUCACUCUACCUCAGUUUACUGAUUUUAUUUGUCUAUCAGACUAGUCCAUGGCAUUUUGAUUGGAAGCACCCACAUCUUUCAAUCCGCUAGCAAAAUUUGAUCGCGUGAGUCAAUUUGCUUGUAGGAUGUUGAAUUAAUUGUGAUGAAUUUCUUUGCUAACAACUUUUCCCCCAAAUCACUACUGAAAAAGCUCGUACACUGAGUACUUUGAUAUAUUGAAAGGAACAUCUUUUCUUGAAACCUUAUACGAAUAAAGAAAAAGAAACAUUUUUGCAACUAAAGUUAGCAGAAAAAGUACCGGUGCAUGCCUUGGCUUUGUGUGGGGCCACUUGCUCAGAGGUACAUCAAGGGCUAUAUAUACCCCAGACCGUCGGGAGCCAUAACAGCCAUGGAUCAUCUCCUCUUUUUCUCAUUCAAAUCAGUCAUGAAUUCAAAAUCCGCUUUCCUUCUGAUCGUGGUGGCAGUUAGCACCACGGCCAUGGUGCACGGCCACCCUGCCGCUAGCACUCCGGCGGCACGGUUCUGGGAGCAGGCCCUCUCCGGCACGCCGAUGCCGGAGGUGCUAGCUGAUUUUGUUCAGAAAGGUAAUCUUUGCUUACAUGUUUAAUUAUAUGUUUGGUAUAUAAAUACCAAAAAGGUUUUCCUUAUGUAUAAUUACUAGCAAAAAUACACGUAUGUUGUGACAGAAUUUAAAUCCUGGGACGUCUGUUCUAAUAUUAGGCUGCUCGGCUGUGAUGGCUUAACUUAUCUGCAGCUGCAGUAGCCAGGUAGCAGCAGCUACAGUACACAUUCAGUUCAAUAAUCCACAGCCCAAUAAGCCUAUUCAGUUCAAACGAUCUACCAAGCCAUGAUGUUCUGAGAUGAGAUUUCGUACUGUGAUUGAGCAUAUAACCAUCUAAUUUUUUUUCCUAAGAACACUCCAAAAAUUCAGUUUUAGCACAAGCUAAAAAAACCCAACAGGUCCGAUCAACAAACUUCCUCCUUAUAUUUCUGCGCUUUUGCACUCGUCGUUCAUUGAUGGGUCACUUGCGGCGGUGCGGGGAUAGAGGUUCAGGUACCUCUUUGUCCGCCAUGGACGACAGAGCGCCGUGCAUGACUUCCUGCUGCGCGCUCGAUCUAGCAGCGCGACUGGGAGAAGAGGCUGUGCUGUACGCGCGCUACUUCAGACAUCAUCAGAGUUACAAUAUGACUUGCUCCUUGCUGCAAAGCUGCCGCUCUUAAUUUUUUAAAGCUCGUGGUGCAAAUUUUGGUUUUCGUACAACUAAUCUUGGAAAUAUUGGAUGAUGGGUGGUGUUCUGCAUGCUCCCAAUUUUAAUUUUUUUUGGCAAGCUUCAGAAGCAGUUUCCUAGCACUCAUUUUUCAAGUUCGGUUGGAAAUGAUCUAACUCGUGUGAGCAUCGAUCGUGAGUAACGGGACAAUAAAUAAGUUAGAACUGUAAUCUCUAAUUUAUCAUGUACUUCUUCCUCUAUUCCAAACUGUAAGCAAGAAUCUUAGAGAGUCAAAGAAUUUUAAGUUUGACAAAAAUUAUAAAGAAAUCUACAAAUAUUUGUGACAUCAAAUUGGUAUAUUAUGAAAAUAUAAUUAAUGAAGAAUCUAAUAAUACUUAGUUGACAUCAUGAAUGUUAUUAUCUUGUCAUAUAAAUUUGGUCAAACUUGAGAAGCUUUGACUCUUCAAGAUUCUUGGAAUGACUUACAAUUACUACUCUUAGUAAACUGACUAGAACCCUUAUACGCUUAAUUAGAACUGUAAAAUUCAAUUCAUCAUGUACUACUACUCUUAGUAAAAUCGGCUAGAACUUCUAUACUAUGGAGAGUGAAGGGACACAUAGGAAGAGAGUCUAAUGGACCAAAAUUCAGAGGAAUAAAUGUUCACCCUUUUAUAUAAGGGAACGUAUCUGGUGCAAACCAACCUCUCCGUGCAACCGUGCAAACUUCUAAUCGGAGCUACAGGAUGUUGAUCCAAGGGGGCGCAUGGGGGAAUGGGAGGGCGGAUUCGCAAAAGCAUGAUUAGGGGCGGGCCGUUAAGUGUAAAAUUACCUAAUCCCCACGCCCCCUUGGAUCAACAUCCUAUGGCCCAGAUUAGAAGUUUGGACGGUUGCACGGAAAGGUUAGUUUUGUUGAUUUAAUAUUAUGUAUGUAUAUAUAGAGUAUGCAUGGAUAUAAACAUUGACUUUGUGUUCUCGUGCAGGAAUGGAUCUGUCACCGCUCGUGGAGCACUACUCUGCACAGCCUAGUAUCGGCAUGUGCACACUCUUCAACACUAUCUGCGACGCGCGCACGGUGGCGGAGACCGGCAUCUUCUUCCACGAGGCCGAGCUACAUCCGGGCAGCACCAUGACCCUGUAUUUCCCAGCGGAGGCGGAGACAGCCAUCCUCCCGCACGACAUCGCCGGCAAGGUCCCCUUCGAGAACCUAAGCGACGUCCUCUCCACGUUCCACAUCUCACCAGGCUCCGCUGAGGCUGCGCAAGUGGAGGACACCCUGCGCAAGUGUCAGCAGCCGCCAAUCGCCGGUGAGAUAAAAGCCUGCACCAUGUCGCUAGAGAGCACUGUAAAGGCCGCCAUGGAGAUGCUCGGCACCACCAUCCAGCAGGGUGGUGGUGGUGGUGACGUGUGGGCGGCCACGUCGACGCUCCCCCGCGGUGGCCUGCUACCACACCGGGAGUACAUUGUCCAGGAGGUCACCAAGCUAGAGGGCACUGGCUACGUGGCCUGCCACAAGGUGCCGUUCCCAUACGCCGUCUUCCAUUGUCACAUCGCACAUACGGGGUAUAUAGGUUACAAGGUCACCCUCCACGGCCGCGGCGACAACGAGGGCCCUGUGGUUUCCUUGCUGGCGUUCUGCCAUUUCGACACCUCCCACUGGAAUCCGGCACACCCGGCGUUCCAGAUACUGAAGACCCACCCUGGUGCCAGUACGUCGGUGUGCCACUUCAUGUCGUAUGGCAAUCUCGCGUUCAUCAAGAAGGCACGCACAGCCUAGCUUGCUACUGCAUCCUUCGUUGCGCGCUACAUACGCCAGUGUCGUGCUCUGGACAUCAACGUGGCGCUCUUUUUUCAUAUAUGCACCGUAAAUGUGUAAAUGUGGGCAUUCAUCCGUUCUAGCUAGGACGGCGUCUUCUAUAUAUAGAAUAAGAAUAAGAAUGGCACCAUAUAUAGUUCUAGCUUUGGCAUCAGACGAAAAUAUAAGGGUGUAGCAAUGGUACGGUGUGUGUCCAGGUUUGUUUGGAUGGAUGUUAUAUGUAAGUACAUGUCGCUAGUGUUGGUGAGUGGGGGCUCCGAUCCUACAUAUUGCUAGCUAGUGCUGGUACAUGUCAUUGUUACUACUGUAUGAAACUUGUGUGGUUGGUCCUGUGUGGCCUAGCUAGCGUCGGACAUACUGUAUUAUCGUGUUAUGUGUAUGAAUAAAUAUGUUUA